AGCGAAUUGGUGUAAUUGGUAACACACAGGGCUCAUAACCCUGAGUUAUAGGUUCGAGUCCUAUGUUCGCUUCCA
This 75-nucleotide transfer RNA is filed under the name Bacteriophage sp. Its description in RNAcentral is "tRNA-Met". It matches the Rfam family "tRNA". Rfam says of the family: Transfer RNA (tRNA) molecules are approximately 80 nucleotides in length. Their secondary structure includes four short double-helical elements and three loops (D, anti-codon, and T loops). The record is from RNAcentral.